Molecule: non-coding RNA, 111 nt
Filed under: human gut metagenome
Description: FMN riboswitch (RFN element)
Rfam family: FMN riboswitch aptamer (RFN element)
About the family: The RFN element is a highly conserved domain that is found frequently in the 5'-untranslated regions of prokaryotic mRNAs that encode for flavin mononucleotide (FMN) biosynthesis and transport proteins. This element is a metabolite-dependent riboswitch that directly binds FMN in the absence of proteins. In Bacillus subtilis, the riboswitch most likely controls gene expression by causing premature transcription termination within the 5' untranslated region of the ribDEAHT operon and precluding access to the ribosome-binding site of ypaA mRNA.
Source: RNAcentral
UUCUUCGGGGCGAGGUGCAAUUCCUCACCGGCGGUAAAGUCCGCGACCCGCGAUGAGCGGCUGAUUUGGUGCGAUUCCAAAACCGACAGUACAGUCUGGAUGAGAGAAGAA